This 886-nucleotide ribosomal RNA is filed under the name Aspergillus caesiellus. RNAcentral's name for it is "eukaryotic LSU rRNA". The stretch from base 322 to 475 matches the Rfam family "5.8S ribosomal RNA". Lineage: Eukaryota; Fungi; Ascomycota; Eurotiomycetes; Eurotiales; Aspergillaceae. The record is from RNAcentral.
GGCCCGGGGCAGAAGCCCCCGGGGGGCCUGAGGCGGGCCCGCCGAAGCAACGGGUACAGAGACAGGAUGGGAGGUUGAACCCAGAGGGGCCCCCCCCUCGUCNCUCUCUUCUUGGGGGGGGGGCUGCGGAAGGAUCAUUACCGAGUGCGGGCCCUCUGGGUCCAACCUCCCAUCCGUGUCUCUUGUACCCUGUUGCUUCGGCGGGCCCGCCUUCAUGGCCGCCGGGGGGCUUCUGCCCCCGGGCCCGCGCCCGCCGGAGACUCCAACAUUGAACACUGUCUGAAGGUUGCAGUCUGAGUUUUCUAUAAGAAAAAUCGUUAAAACUUUCAACAACGGAUCUCUUGGUUCCGGCAUCGAUGAAGAACGCAGCGAAAUGCGAUACGUAAUGUGAAUUGCAGAAUUCAGUGAAUCAUCGAGUCUUUGAACGCACAUUGCGCCCUCUGGUAUUCCGGGGGGCAUGCCUGUCCGAGCGUCAUUGCUGCCCUCAAGCACGGCUUGUGUGUUGGGCCCCCGUCCCGGUUCUCCAAGCCGGGACGGGCCCGAAAGGCAGCGGCGGCACCGUGUCCGGUCCUCGAGUGUAUGGGGCUCUGUCACUCACUCGUGUAGGUCCGGCCGGCGGCCAGCCUCUUCAACCAUUUUUUAACCAGGUUGACCUCGGAUCAGGUAGGGAUACCCGCUGAACUUAAGCAUAUCAANAAGGGAAAGGAAAACAUUACCGAGUGCGGGCCCUCUGGGUCCAACCUCCAUCCGUGUCUCUUGUACCCUGUUGCUUCGGCGGGCCCGCCUUCAUGGCCGCCGGGGGGCUUCUGCCCCGGGCCGCGCGCGGAGACUCACAUUGAACACUGGUCUGAAGGUUGCAGUCUGAGAUUUUUCUAUAAGAAAAAAU